AAGCAUAUAACUAGGCCGAGGAAAAGAAACUAACCAGGAUUCCCCCAGUAACGGCGAGUGAAGCGGGAGAAGCCCAUGCUGCCAACCGCUCCGGCGGGUUGUGCCAGGCGUGCCUGGUGAGGUCCCGGGGAGAAGUCCUUUGGAACAAGGUAUCAGAGAGGGUGACAAUCCCGUCUGUGCCUCGGGGUCCUCGCGUGAAGGCCGUGCUAAUGGAGUCGAGUUGCUUGGGAUUGCAGCUCAAAGUCGGUGGUAAAUUCCAUCGAAGGCUAAAUACGGGUGGGAGACCGAUAGCGAACAAGUACUGUGAAGGAAAGAUGAAAAGAACUUUGAAAAGAGAGUUAAAGAGUGCCUGAAAUUGCUGAGAGGGAACCGAAGGUGAUCAGUGGGGGCCGCUGCCAUUUUUCGUGUUCCGACCUCGGAGCACGCCCUGUGGCAGGGGCCCGCUCCGCGCCGUCGCGUCCGGCCGUAAGCUUGGGGCCGGGGGUGGUGGGGCGGAGGAAAUGGUCCUCUUUACCCCGUCUUGAA
RNAcentral lists this ribosomal RNA (525 nucleotides) under Pseudochattonella verruculosa. Its description in RNAcentral is "eukaryotic LSU rRNA". It matches the Rfam family "Eukaryotic large subunit ribosomal RNA", at positions 36 to 658 of the family's 3401-position model. Lineage: Eukaryota; Dictyochophyceae; Florenciellales. The record is from RNAcentral.